CUAGGUCGCCCAAACAACCCCAAAAUCACACCAAAUGACCUUCAACCUUCUCUCACCACUAUCCUACCACAGAAUACCCCAAAAAAAAAAACCCUUUAAUCCCCUCAAAUCCAAGAUCUCAGAAAAACAAUAUACCCAAGUUCUGUUUGUUGUUCUUCAAAUUGUUUCCGGACUCGACUUAGUUAAAAACCAUGCUAAUCAAUCGUUCUCAACUAGAACGGGUUGUUAGCAUACUUUUUAGCUAUAUCGAAGGAGUUCCUACUUGGCAGAAAUCCUCUUUGGUAUAUUUUCUUUGACCUAUUUUCCCUUUUUCUUUGUGUUUUGUUUUUAUUUCCAAUGGUUUACAUGCAUAUGGUCAUGUGUUAGUUAAGACAUAUCUAUUUUAGGUUAAUUGACUACUAGUUUAGUUUUAAAAUUAUUCAAACAUGUUAACCGUUAAAAAAUCCGUUUGGUUGUUAAGUUGUUUGAUUCAAUUAUUUGUAAAUUAAUUAGGUUAAUUUCUAGGGUUUCUUUGCAUCUUCAUUCUAGUUCUUAUUUGGUUAUUAUUUUGAUGUGUUAUUUGUUUAAAUUCCGUUUUUGUUUGGAAUUAAUUAAAUGAACUGUUUAAUUCACUGAUUAGUUUAGAUUAUUUGGAUUAAACCCUAGAUGCCUUUAAGUUUGAAAUUAAUUUCAGAAAUGAAAGGUAGUAUUCAGAGUUGUUAUGGGUGGUACAAUUGAAACAAUAUUAGGAAUUUCCAUGCUAGAACCACUUAGAUAGUUCUAGAAGAUCCCACAUAGAUUUUAAAAUCAAAAUUAGGCCAGAUUGAUUAGAAUUAAUUGCAAUAAGCUAAAAUUAAAAGGGUAAAAUUGAGAAUCUACAAUAGGAAAUAUCUAUCAGGAAAGUCUAGUAUUGGAUAUCUGUCCCUGAAUUUUGCUGAAAAACGACGAACGACUGUUAAAAGAUGUUGUACUAUCUGAUAUAAGGUAGAAUAUGCUUUUUUGAUGUUGUAAGGAAUAGUUAUUACUUCAUUAGGGACAUAAUUUAAUAGCCUAUAGUCACCUAAAAAUUUCUGAAUACAAAAAGAGGAAAAUAUUCAUGCAAUUUUCUAGCUAAGACAUUAAUUUUCUGGUUAGAAUUCUAGGCCGGUUUUCUCUAGUAUUUUGGUUUUAGAGAGUCCAAGUGCUUGUCAUUUGGUUUCUGGGUUGAAUUUUUACUGCUGUUUUGGGUUUCUGCUGGUUCAUAGCUUCCAAUUAGAGCUUCAUUUUGUUUCAUUUUGAUCCUUAUUACAGUAGGUAAGCAACUCCCUGUCCAAAAUUAGUCAUGAAUGAGAUAUGGUUUGGAUUCAAAUAUGUAUGUUAUUUCUGCUUGUAAUCUCUAAACUUGUCUCAUAUUCAUGUUUUGGAUAAAUGCUACUUUUCCUUGAAAUCCUAGAUUUCUUUCUUGUAAAAUGACUCCUUACCAGUUUUUGUGUAUGAACAUGCCUUCAUCAGAUAAACCUAUAUGGUCAUUAGGUUGGUACUACCACUGAUUGCUAUUUAGUUGAUUAUGCAAUGCUAAAUGGAGUCUCCAUAAUAAUGAAACUUGUAUCUUGUUUUCUAAUUGUAUGCGAGUAGCAACAAGAGAAGAAAAUCUUAGAGCUGGAAUCAAAUGCUAACUUGUGAAAAACAUCUCUAUAGCUGAUAUUUUGCAAGUUGAACCUUGCUAAAGGGCUUUGUAAUAAUUGAAGACUGUAAGUCAUGAUACUUUUAAAAAAUUCUUUCUUUCUUUUAAACAUAUAGUUGUAUUCAGAAUCAUGUCGUACAUUUAUGGAUUGUUCAGUAGUAAAUUGACUAUUGGAAUAUAUUAAUUUUAAGUUUGAUCAUGGUGAUUAAUAGUUAUAUUCAUAAUAUCAUGAGUUCUUUGCUAUAAUAAGCCUGUUGCCGAAGAAUUUCCUUAACGUAGGUUAUACGAAUUGGGCCAGACUUGCAACAAGGCUCAAUCUGGAAUCACCUGAGCAAGUUUGGGCCCAGGCGAAUGGGCAUGAGUACUUGGUAUAGGUUCAUUUUACUAUUAUUGAAUUUUCUGCUAAAUUUGGUUCAAAACGAAGUUGAUUUGACAUAAUUGAGACGCUCGAUUGUAAUUUUUGAAAGUUCUUAAGUUUAUUUGAAAAUUUCAUGCAUUUUGAUAUCCCAUUCAUAGUUAUAGGUAUUAUUUUGGUAUUUUGAUCAUGCGAGCAAGUUCGUAUGAUUUUAUUAAACUUUUGUGCAUGUUUGGUUUGGUGUCCGAGGGGCUCCGGUGAGUUUCAAAUGAGUAUGGUUGAGGUUGGAAUAGAUGGUGCACUUCUGUUCCUAGUGUUCUGCUGUAGAUCUCGCAUUUGUGAGGUCAGGUUCACAUUUAUGAAGUCAGGCUCGCAUUUGUGAGCCCAGCUUUUGCGAACAAGUGUUUGCGUUUGCGAGCAUAGGCACAAUUGUGCAGCCUCGCAUUUGCAAACUGUCAGAGGUAGCUUUUGCGGUCUCAGCAUUUGGGACUUAAUUUGUUCUUGAGUUAUCUUCACAUGUGUGAAGGAAUGGUCCGCAUUUGCAAAGGCUGGGAGUUAGCAUUUGCAAACCAAAUGUCGCAUUUGUGGCUUCUAUGGCUCUAAGACAGGGUUCAUAUUUGCAGUGUUAGUAGUUUCGAACAUGACUUUGCAAUUGCAACAUCUGCAGCCGGGUAAAAGAGGGGGAAAAUGGGACUUAGCUUAUUUCUCACUAUUUCUCAAUCCUAAACACUCUAGAGAUUGAUUUUUCAAGAGGCUUUUUUCCAAAAUUCAUUGGUAAGUAACUUUAGUCCAUUUCUUCCAAUUGCCUAUUACAUUUCAUGAGAUUUCAACAUCAAAUUUAGGAUUUCUAUGGUAGAAAUUCAGAAUUCGUGUAGAGUUGAAAUUUUUUGUAAAAUUGAGAUUUAGAAAUCGAAUUGAGGUCGGAUUUCGAAACAAAUCACAUAACCGAGCUAGGGAGUGAAUGCGUAAUCAGUUUUAGUCCGAACCUUGAAUUUUAACCAAGUGGGCCCAGAGUUGACCUUUUCCAGAAUCAUUAAAGAUUGAAUCUUUUUUACUCGUGGGUUGUUUCAAAAGCUUAUUUUAAAUUGUUUGAACUAUAUUUGGUUAGAUUCAAUUUGGAGGCAAACUUUUGAGGAAAGGCCCAAUUCAUCUUUGAUUUAAUUGCGGAGUGAGGUAAGUGUUGGAUCUAACCUUGACUUGAGGGAUAUAGAAAUUUGUGAAUUAUGUGUUGUGUAGAUUAUUUGAGAAAAUAACAUAUAUGUGAGGUAACGAGUGUAUAUACACCGUGAAGGUAUUUGUUUCCACGUUUUCUCGUUAUUUCAUGAAUUAACUUAUUCCAUAUCUCAAUUGUUACAUAAUUUAUUUGACUGCCAUGCUGAAAUUGUUAUUUAUCAUUGAAUUAUUCGAGUAUUAAUUUGUUCUUCCCUUUCCUUGACUCUGUGCUUAUCUGCUAGUUUCCUUAACUGUUUCAGUCGCACACCUUAAUUGUCACAAGCUUUACUUGUUCUAUUAUUUUUGUAAUAUUUGUUACAUCAUUUGAUUAGUACGUGAUCCUUUAUUGCCUUGAACUCUUCUUCUUGAUGUAGAAAAUCUUGUAAAUUGAGUUAUUGGAUUGUCUAUGUUAUCCGAAAAUGAUUGGAAAUCGGGUUGCACACUGCAACAGAAAUUGAAAGAUGAUCAAUUGAAAUGGUAGAAUAAGGGAGUAUACUUGAUGUUGAUAAAUGAUGAUAUGGCAGGAUCAGGUUACACGUCAUAAUGGAUUGUAUAUGUGGUGCUUGAUAUUGAUAAAGAUUGAUAUAGUAAAAUCAUGUUGCGCGCCGCAACGGAUUGUGUGUAUUAAAUUUGAUUUAAACUUUAAUUUCCAGCUGUGAUGUUUUCAUAUAUGUUUUGAACCUUUGAACAAGUACGUAUGGAAUAUUGAGAUACGAUUCAAAGUCCACAUUGGACUCGACUAAAACACCAAGAUGCGUUUCCACUUGGCUUUUUAUUUAGAUUCAUGUCCUCCAUGAGAUUUGACAGAGUCAGACUUCUUAGUAUAAUUAAUUAAAUUGUGUUCUUUUGCGUGGAAAAAGUAUAACACCCCAUGCAAGACAAAAGUUUGUAAUUCAUCGGUCUUAAUUUAUGUAGCAAUAAU
RNAcentral lists this long non-coding RNA (4131 nucleotides) under Nicotiana benthamiana. Its description in RNAcentral is "long non-coding RNA (NBEN_LNC015239)". Lineage: Eukaryota; Viridiplantae; Streptophyta; Magnoliopsida; Solanales; Solanaceae. The record is from RNAcentral.